Molecule: long non-coding RNA, 710 nt
Filed under: Brassica napus (rape)
Lineage: Eukaryota; Viridiplantae; Streptophyta; Magnoliopsida; Brassicales; Brassicaceae
Description: long non-coding RNA (BNAP_LNC006519)
Source: RNAcentral
AUAUCCAGCAAAUAACCCGAUCAGGUUUCAUAUUUUGAUACUUCAGAUAUCGGGUUGGUUCAGUCGGUUUAACCCAAUAACCGAAACAUAAUCCGAGUAUUAUCUAAUACAAAGCGCAAGCAAAUUCUUAUGCACCCAAGCGCAAAAAAAAAAAAAAAAAAAAAAAAAAAAAAAAAAAAAAAAAAAAACUCCACACGUUAAGAGAGACUACACUCCAAUCGGUAGUCACACCACACGAAAUCUUUCAAAAUCACAGCAUGCGAACCGAAGCGUAGACGGAUUCAAUCGAUAUCUGAAGAGAUUGUCACCACUCACCAAGUUUACAGAUGAUUAAGCUGCGGGAGAAAUGCUGUUGUGCCCUUGGGAUCUCGUAUUAUCCCUUAAAUCUGUAAUCGGAAUCGAAGAGAAACAUGCGAUCUGAUAUUAAACGACCUUACUCAAAUAAACGCCACAUGAUAAACCCUAAGAUGAGAGCGAGUGAGAAAGACGAAUCGUACCGUACCGUAGCGUAGCGUGAGCCAAAAACUAAAAGCAGAGAGAAAGCAGAGACUUACCGUAGCGUAGCGUAGCGUGAGCGACGAUCGGAAAGAGCUCCGCGGGAGUCGGGACAGAGAGAAGAAAACCCCUACGAGGUUAGAGCGAGAGAAUCCUUGUUUCUAUUUUUUUUUUUUUUUUGAAUUUCAUUUUUAAAUUCCUUCCUUCCUUCCUCC